RNAcentral lists this ribosomal RNA (901 nucleotides) under uncultured bacterium. Its description in RNAcentral is "bacterial SSU rRNA". It matches the Rfam family "Bacterial small subunit ribosomal RNA", at positions 24 to 917 of the family's 1533-position model. The record is from RNAcentral.
UCAGGAUGAACGCUAGCUACAGGCUUAACACAUGCAAGUCGAGGGGCAGCGGGAUUGAAGCUUGCUUCAAUUGCCGGCGACCGGCGCACGGGUGAGUAACGCGUAUCCAACCUUCCGUACACUCAGGGAUAGCCUUUCGAAAGAAAGAUUAAUACCUGAUGGUAUGAUGAGAUUGCAUGAUAGCAUCAUUAAAGAUUUAUCGGUGUACGAUGGGGAUGCGUUCCAUUAGGUAGUAGGCGGGGUAACGGCCCGCCUAGCCAACGAUGGAUAGGGGUUCUGAGAGGAAGGUCCCCCACAUUGGAACUGAGACACGGUCCAAACUCCUACGGGAGGCAGCAGUGAGGAAUAUUGGUCAAUGGACGAGAGUCUGAACCAGCCAAGUAGCGUGAAGGAUGAAGGUCCUACGGAUUGUAAACUUCUUUUAUAAGGGAAUAAACCCUCCCACGUGUGGGAGCUUGUAUGUACCUUAUGAAUAAGCAUCGGCUAACUCCGUGCCAGCAGCCGCGGUAAUACGGAGGAUGCGAGCGUCAUCCGGAUUUAUUGGGUUUAAAGGGAGCGCAGACGGGUCGUUAAGUCAGCUGUGAAAGUUUGGGGCUCAACCUUAAAAUUGCAGUUGAUACUGGCGUCCUUGAGUGCGGUUGAGGUGUGCGGAAUUCGUGGUGUAGCGGUGAAAUGCUUAGAUAUCACGAAGAACUCCGAUUGCGAAGGCAGCAUACUAAUCCGUAACUGACGUUCAUGCUCGAAAGUGUGGGUAUCAAACAGGAUUAGAUACCCUGGUAGUCCACACGGUAAACGAUGGAUACUCGCUGUUGGCGAUAUACUGUCAGCGGCUUAGCGAAAGCGUUAAGUAUCCCACCUGGGGAGUACGCCGGCAACGGUGAAACUCAAAGGAAUUGACGGA